UUUCCCGCCACAGGAGGGCUGCCUCUCAGGCCAGGCCCUCACCCCACAGCCUCCCCAGAUCCGUGUGCGUUGGGGAGAGGGGUUGCAUCUCACCUCACAUACCGUAUAUUCAAAUAUAUAUCAAUGUAUGGGUAUGACAUAGUUGUGAGAGAUUGCUGCCAGGCUCUGGGAUUUGUAUGUGGUUGGUUUCAGAGGCAUUGUCAUCGUGACAGCUGGGGAAGGCUCUGGGGAAGCCAAGCUUGGAGGGGAGAGUUUGGCAGAGGAUCCCGGGUGCCCUGUGAGGGGACUGAAUGCCAUGCAGUGCCACUAGCCACUCCUGAGGGCAGGACAGAGCAGGAAAAGUGCAAGACCUUAGCCACUUGCUGCAAGAAAAUCCAGAAACACCCCUGUUUUCUUGUACCCUGACUGCCACACUGAGUAUCUUAAAAAGAAGACAAGGCAGAGCAAGUAGUCCAGCCUGACACAUCAUUGGCUUUGUGCUCAACUAAAUGAAGUCAGAAUUCAGACCUCUUAUAGCAGGUAAGAAAAAUAAAUGAUGCCUUCCAUGUUACUGUUGUCAAUCCACUGCUUUCUUCCUUUCACUGAUCCAUAAAUGGUAUGAACAGACCUGGAAGGAUGCAAAAAGUUGUUGUUGGUUGUUUUUUUUUUUCUAUUUUGUCUGAUAUUUUGAACUUUCAGAGCAUUGUGGAGGGGUUCUUUUGCUCCAGUCAGUUUUCAUCAGGAGUGGCUUAUCAGACAUAAAAAGCUGUAAAUGAUUGUUGGUGUUUCAAAGCAGAAAUUCUCCUUUGAAAAGAACAUGUCCCACAUGCUGGCAUGAAAUAUUUCCCUCAAGACAAUAUGUUACAGUCCUUAAGAAAUCAUCAUCAGUAUCAGUAAGGCAGCAGGGGGAAAAAAGCAAUAUGAAGACACACCUGGUGUGGUGGUCACACAGUUUUUUUGGGUAACCUUCUGUGUUCUGCCAGUGGUAUCACUGCUUUAUUUGCAAGGAGCCAUCCAUUUCACCCAAAGAAAGUGAUCUCAUUUUAAAGCAGAAGCAUCUGUUUAGAGCUGCAGUCCUCAGUGUUUCUCAAGAAACGGUUGAAACUGUCAGCAUUUUAGGAAAGCUAGAGGUAUUGCAGCCAUUUCCUAUCAGAUGCUGUCUUUCUAAGUAUGCAGAGUAAUAUGACAUUUGAACAGAUGAGGUUAAAUGCUAAAUCUGACUUGAUUAAUGCUGAUGGAAACACAAUGCUCAGUACUCUAUGCAAAAUUAUGGUUUGAAUGAAAAUUUCAUGUUAAAUAAGUCAUAAUGUAUCAAUUUAGAACUGUUAAAUGUGAUACUGUUUUAACAUAACACAUUUCAAAACUGAGUGUCAUUCUGAGAUAAGCAGAGAUGUUCCAGUUCUGUAAAUUUAUAAAUGUUGUUGUUACUGGUGUUCUUUCUCUGUACUUUUUGAAUCCAUUUCCAUCAGAAAAUUCUGUGUGGGAAAUAAAUUG
Molecule: long non-coding RNA, 1473 nt
Organism: Gallus gallus (chicken)
Lineage: Eukaryota; Metazoa; Chordata; Aves; Galliformes; Phasianidae
Source: Ensembl